This 497-nucleotide ribosomal RNA is filed under the name uncultured bacterium. RNAcentral describes it as "partial 16S ribosomal RNA". It matches the Rfam family "Bacterial small subunit ribosomal RNA", at positions 28 to 507 of the family's 1533-position model. The record is from RNAcentral.
GAUGAACGCUGGCGGCGUGCCUAAUACAUGCAGGUCGAGCGAACGGACGAGAAGCUUGCUUCUCUGAUGUUAGCGGCGGACGGGUGAGUAACACGUGGAUAACCUACCUAUAAGACUGGGAUAACUUCGGGAAACCGGAGCUAAUACCGGAUGAUAUUUUGAACCGCAUGGUUCAAAAGUGAAAGACGGUCUUGCUGUCACUUAUAGAUGGAUCCGCGCUGCAUUAGCUAGUUGGUAAGGUAACGGCUUACCAAGGCAACGAUGCAUAGCCGACCUGAGAGGGUGAUCGGCCACACUGGAACUGAGACACGGUCCAGACUCCUACGGGAGGCAGCAGUAGGGAAUCUUCCGCAAUGGGCGAAAGCCUGACGGAGCAACGCCGCGUGAGUGAUGAAGGUCUUCGGAUCGUAAAACUCUGUUAUUAGGGAAGAACAUAUGUGUAAGUAACUGUGCACAUCUUGACGGUACCUAAUCAGAAAGCCACGGCUAACUACGCG